GGGUUUGCCUGUGUAAUAUCCCUGGCCUUCCUGGAACUCACUCUGUUGACCAGUCUGGCUUCGAACUCACGAAGAUCAGAUGCCUCUGCCUCCCGAGUGCUGGAAUUAAAGAUUCAGUCAUGGAACCAGGUGCUUCUGACAGAAUUUCCCAAGUCUCCUGAUGUUGCCUAAAUCCCCUCGUCAUCCUGGACUCUGAGGAAUAUUCCAGCCUAUCUGGGCCCUUGGAAGACCCCACUCAACUUUGAAGCAGUUACAGAAGAGAGAGACUAACUACAUCACCCUUAUCAUCAAUAAGAGGCUAGAAGGUCAGGUCUCAGAUAGUAUAUAUGUCCAGAAAUGAACUCAAGCUGGACUAUAGAAGUAUCUGUGGCAGGUAGAUAAAAGCCAGCAUGGUAUGGGAGGUCCUUCUGUCUAUGUGUUGCUUUUAUUGGUUAAUGAAUAAAGAAAGUGCUUUGGACCUAUAGCAAGGCAGAACUUAGGUAGGCAGGAAAAGCUAGGCUGAAUGCUGUGAGAAAAGAAGAAUGGAGUCAAAGAGAAGCCAUGAAGCUGCCACCAGAUUUAGACAUGCCGAAACUUUGCUGGUUUUCAAGUCCUGAACAGACUUGGUCCCUUUGCCCUUCCAACUUUAUUUCCAGCUGCUGGGCAUUAGUCAUAUCAAGCGCUCCUCUGUGAGGUGUGUGUCCUCACCUGUCUUCCUCAAGUGUGGUCUGAUCUCCUACUGAGCACUAUAGACCAUUCUGGAAACUGUCUCCGCCUUCCUCAUUUAUCCUGCAGAACAAUCCUGAAGGGCGUCCCCCAAAUCACUCGAAGAUUUCGCCUUUAGCUGAACCUGUGCCAAGUUUGGAGGGGAUCAAACAGGAGAGUGGACCAUGUGGCUGUUCUCCCUGGCGUGGGAACUUUUUCCUUUCCCGUUUUCUGGCUGGACAGAAAUGAAGUAAAAAAUAUUGAAUUAAAAGGGCUUAGAUUUAACAAUUCAAGCAAAAAGUGGCGAAUGGGACAUAUCAAUGGGACAUACGAAGACUCGUCCUCAAAAUUACCCAUAUUUAUCUGAUGUUCAAAUCGAACUGGGAGUUCUCAGUCUUCUCUGGCAUCCUGGCACUGAAGAAGGUGUGGCUGCGGAAGCACAACGACCUGGGAUCCCUAAACAGAUGCUCUCAAGGUCCAAAAACCCAGGGGACAGGAGAGGAUGCAACAACAAGUGGACUAGUCUUCCACACAAGUUCGGCCUACUGCAGAGAGGAUCCAUGUUGGAGGGGCUGGAAGGUGAAGGCAAGCGGGAUAAAGGGUGGGCAGAUGACGACAACAUGGACGGACGGACGGACGGACGGACGGACUUAGGUCCCUCUUGUUCUUCCUACAGGUUCUCUCUGCAGCUCCUUCUUCCCCCCACCCCCAGUUCCUCCCGCUCUCUUUGCUUCCCUCCUCAUCCCCACGAUUCUCUUCCUCCAGAAGAAAACUCUUUGCUCUGUAGUUUUCCUGGGCCGAAGUGUACGCGUGAGUGAAGGGCUGGGCCUGGAAGGUCGGAAGGAACGAGACGCUUCACCCAGGGCACGGUCCUUAAGAACCCUAGCGGGACUUUCCUGCCCUGUGGUCUUGCCUCCACCAAGCCAUCGCGCUGAGGCUUCUCAAGGCUUUAAUAAAAUGCGGAGCAGAGCCGGGCUGUACAAGAUUCCUGUAUAGCAGGCAUGAGGCCUCUUCCUACUUGGCUUCUCUCCUCUCUCUCUCCCUCCCUCCCUCCCUCGCUCUCUCUAUCCCUCCUUCCCCCACUCUUUCGUCUCCAUCUGUCGGUUCUACCCCUCACCAUGGGAACAAACUCCUGGAAUUUCUUUAAAGCUCUUUUUAAAGAUGUUUAUUUAGAUUUGCUUAUUCUCUCUCUCUCUCUCUCUCUCUCUCUCUCUCUCUCUCUCU
Molecule: long non-coding RNA, 1908 nt
Organism: Alexandromys fortis (reed vole)
Lineage: Eukaryota; Metazoa; Chordata; Mammalia; Rodentia; Cricetidae
Exons: 4
Source: RefSeq, a predicted model, not a curated record